UGGCACUGCACAAGUGCGUAGCGAUACGGGUAUAACUUUAAUAUUAAGACACAAUAUUAGUAUUAAAAAACAAGUGUUUAAAUUAAGGUUUAAAACCCGCGUUUGACAAGAAUAAAAUUUAUCGCAAGCGCAAAAAAUAAUCACGACCGUUCGCUAUGAAGUGAAGGAAGAGACCCUUUUAUAAGUGUCGCGGAUCGAUUAUCGAUAGUUAGUAUUUAAUUAGAAUUUAGUAUUGUGCACUCAUGAAGAGAUUGGGCACACUAGAAUAGAUAAUAAUGGCGCGUUCGUGGUGAAUUUGUCGUCGAUGCCAUAGAGUGUGGGAGGUUAUACUGCGAAUAAAACAUACGUUUAUACGCACAUACACUGGCUUGUGUAUUAGAGGCGGGUUGCCCCAUCGCCGCCGUAUGUUAAAGGCAACUCCCACCUGAGAGACGACAUUAAGUUAUUUCUUCAUUACAUUUUGAUUUAUACAUACAAUUUUAGAAAAUGCGCCUUUCGUCAAUUUUUUUAAUAGAAUAUUUAAUAUAUAUUAGUGAUUUUGUUUAUGUGUCGCGCCUUGUCGCCUGAAACUUUUUAUGCAGAAAUAAAAUAUACUCUGUCGUUAACUUAAAAGAAAAA
Long non-coding RNA from Drosophila ananassae, 618 nucleotides. RefSeq lists it as uncharacterized. Lineage: Eukaryota; Metazoa; Arthropoda; Insecta; Diptera; Drosophilidae. The transcript is spliced from 2 exons. The record is from RefSeq and is a predicted model, not a curated record.